GUCUCCAACUUAUUGUCUUGAAUGUGUCCUAUCCUCUCAGAUCUGAGAAACUAAGCAGAUUCGAGCCUGGUUAUUACUUUGAUGGGAGACUUUAGUGGAAGACUGGGUGUUGUAUCCU
This 118-nucleotide ribosomal RNA is filed under the name Eptatretus burgeri (inshore hagfish). The record is from RNAcentral. Lineage: Eukaryota; Metazoa; Chordata; Myxini; Myxiniformes; Myxinidae.